UUAUUUUAGAUUAAGACAUUUUCAUCCUUCUUGGGACCUGUCUCUGGAGCUUGAAGCACUACAGAGGGUCCCAUUCGAGCCUUUGCAAUCAUUAAGCUGAAGUUUCUUUCAAUGAAGACUCUGCUCCUGAUUGCAUUGGCCUCCAUCAAGAGGACCUGCACUCAUUUUCGGUCAACGAUUCAUGCCUAUAGUUCAGACCCGACUGGUUCCCAGUGAAUAACAUCAGCUGUAUGUGAAGACUGAGGUUUUUAGGAGAACCGACCCAGGAAUGUAGGACAGCGGGAAGUGCUCUGUUAUCUGUCAGCAGAGGUUUGGAGCGGUCAUACAGCACACAUCUCUACACGCGUGUGAGGAUCAUGUGUCAGAUGAGCUCCUCUGA
Long non-coding RNA from Carassius auratus (goldfish), 379 nucleotides. RefSeq lists it as uncharacterized. The transcript has 3 exons. The record is from RefSeq and is a predicted model, not a curated record. Lineage: Eukaryota; Metazoa; Chordata; Actinopteri; Cypriniformes; Cyprinidae.